ACAUCAGUAGUGUAGCGGUCAUCACCGGGCGUUGCCAACGCUCGAACCGGGUUCGAAUCCCGGCUGGUGUA
Molecule: transfer RNA, 71 nt
Filed under: Methanosarcina siciliae C2J
Lineage: Archaea; Methanobacteriati; Methanobacteriota; Methanomicrobia; Methanosarcinales; Methanosarcinaceae
Description: tRNA-Gly (GCC) (tRNA-Gly-GCC-2-1)
Rfam family: tRNA
About the family: Transfer RNA (tRNA) molecules are approximately 80 nucleotides in length. Their secondary structure includes four short double-helical elements and three loops (D, anti-codon, and T loops).
Source: RNAcentral